CUGGGCCUCGGGGCGCAGGCGGAGGGGACGCGCGCGGGACGCCCGGGCUCGCGGGGCUCGGCGGGCGGGCGGCGGGGCCGGCGGCUCUGGGGGCGCCCGCGGACUUCCCGGCGCGCUGGGUCCAGUGGUUCUUAACAGUUCAACAGUUCUGUAGCGCAAUUGUGAAAUGUUUAGGACCACUAGCCCCGGCGGGCCCGGCGGCGGCGGCCGGACGCCCACGCGCCCCUGCGAGGAGCCAGCCGGCCCGGGCGCGGGGUCCCGGGCGGGCCGGGGCGGGCCGGGGCGGGCGGCGGGCGCGGGGACCGCGGGGUGCGCAGCGGGGCGGCCCCACCCCGCGUGCGCCGGGUCCCUCCGUACCUGGUACCUGCCGGCGGCCCGCGCUCCCCGGGCUUUCGGGCUUCCCCGGCGGGCCAACUGCUCACCACCCGCUCCGUGGGAGCGCCCUGGAGCCCCGCGCCGCCGGGCAGAGGCCACCCUGCUCUCAGGAGUCCAGAGGCUCUUGGCAGUGAUGCUGCCCCCUGACCGCGCAGCCGGUUGGCCGUGACUUAAUACGACAGCGCUCUCCGCCAUCCGCUCGGCCCAAAACCCGGCCUGCGGUGCUGAGCCUGCUCUAGCUGUGCACACAGAGGGCCUCCCCGGACAUGGUCGCAGGAAUCAUCCUGGCUUGCCGGGGACUUUCUGGUUCUAGCGCCCAAAGUCUCAUGGCCUAGGAGACCCCCUCCGUCUGGGCAACCUGACACAGUUGGUGGCUCUGCCUGGGACCGGCUCGGCAGACACAGCCCCAGCUCCUGGGACGGCUGACGGCCUGUCUUCCGCAGAGAAAUAAACUUGUGUCUCGUUAAAGCCGCGGUUAUUUCCGUCUCUAUCAAAGUAGCUAAACCAGUAUUCCGAGUC
Molecule: long non-coding RNA, 894 nt
Filed under: Canis lupus familiaris (dog)
Lineage: Eukaryota; Metazoa; Chordata; Mammalia; Carnivora; Canidae
Description: lncRNA (ENSCAFG00040014366.1)
Rfam family: mir-203 microRNA precursor family (bases 111-190)
Source: RNAcentral